RNAcentral lists this ribosomal RNA (438 nucleotides) under uncultured bacterium. RNAcentral's name for it is "bacterial SSU rRNA". It matches the Rfam family "Bacterial small subunit ribosomal RNA", at positions 28 to 484 of the family's 1533-position model. The record is from RNAcentral.
GACGAACGCUGGCGGCGUGCCUAACACAUGCAAGUCGAGCGAUGAAGCUUCUUCGGAAGUGGAUUAGCGGCGGACGGGUGAGUAACACGUGGGUAACCUGCCUCAUAGUGGGGAAUAGCCUUUCGAAAGGAAGAUUAAUACCGCAUAAGAUUGUAGCUUCGCAUGAAGUAGCAAUUAAAGGAUUUAUUCGCUAUGAGAUGGACCCGCGGCGCAUUAGCUAGUUGGUGAGGUAACGGCCACCAAGGCGACGAUGCGUAGCCGACCUGAGAGGGUGAUCGGCCACAUUGGAACUGAGACACGGUCCGGACUCCUACGGGAGGCAGCAGUGGGGAAUAUUGCACAAUGGGGGAAACCCUGAUGCAGCAACGCCGCGUGAGUGAUGACGGUCUUCGGAUUGUAAAGCUCUGUCUUUAGGGACGAUAAUGACGGUACCUAAGG